Molecule: ribosomal RNA, 512 nt
Filed under: uncultured bacterium
Lineage: Bacteria
Description: bacterial SSU rRNA
Rfam family: Bacterial small subunit ribosomal RNA
Source: RNAcentral
UUAUGGCUCAGGAUGAACGCUAGCUACAGGCUUAACACAUGCAAGUCGAGGGGCAGCAUUGGGAUAGCUUGCUAUUCAGAUGGCGACCGGCGCACGGGUGAGUAACGCGUAUCCAACCUUCCUGCCAGUAGGGAACAGCCCGGCGAAAGUCGGAUUAAUGCCCUAUGUUCUUCAAUGCGGACAUCUAAGUUGAAGGAAAGAUUCAUCGCUGGCAGAUGGGGAUGCGUCCGAUUAGCUUGCCGGCGGGGUAACGGCCCACCGGGGCGACGAUCGGUAGGGGUUCUGAGAGGAAGGUCCCCCACACUGGUACUGAGACACGGACCAGACUCCUACGGGAGGCAGCAGUGAGGAAUAUUGGUCAAUGGGCGUAAGCCUGAACCAGCCAAGUAGCGUGCCAGGACGACGGCCCUACGGGUUGUAAACUGCUUUUAUGCGGGGAUAAAGUGCGGCACGUGUGCCGCUUUGCAGGUACCGCAUGAAUAAGGACCGGCUAAUUCCGUGCCAGCAGCGGC